GUCUACGGCCAUGCUACCGUAACACACCCGAUCCCGUUUGACCUCGGAAGCUAAGCAGGCUCGGGCCUGGUUAGUACUUGGAUGGGAGACCCCCUGGGAAGACCAGGUGCUGUAGGCA
RNAcentral lists this ribosomal RNA (118 nucleotides) under Pteropus alecto (black flying fox). The record is from RNAcentral. Lineage: Eukaryota; Metazoa; Chordata; Mammalia; Chiroptera; Pteropodidae.